GUGGGGAAUUUUGGACAAUGGGGGCAACCCUGAUCCAGCCAUGCCGCGUGCAGGAAGAAGGCCUUCGGGUUGUAAACUGCUUUCGGACGGGAAGAAAUGGCCAUCUCUAACAUAGGUGGUUGAUGACGGUACCGUAAGAAGAAGCACCGGCUAACUACGUGCCAGCAGCCGCGGUAAUACGUAGGGUGCGAGCGUUAAUCGGAAUUACUGGGCGUAAAGCGUGCGCAGGCGGAUGUUUAAGUCAGAUGUGAAAUCCCCGGGCUUAACCUGGGAAUGGCAUUUGAAACUGGGCAUCUAGAGUGCGUCAGAGGGGGGUGGAAUUCCACGUGUAGCAGUGAAAUGCGUAGAGAUGUGGAGGAACACCGAUGGCGAAGGCAGCCCCCUGGGAUGACACUGACGCUCAUGCACGAAAGCGUGGGGAGCAAACAGGAUUAGAAACCCUUGUAGUCC
This 450-nucleotide ribosomal RNA is filed under the name uncultured bacterium. RNAcentral describes it as "bacterial SSU rRNA". It matches the Rfam family "Bacterial small subunit ribosomal RNA", at positions 354 to 796 of the family's 1533-position model. The record is from RNAcentral.